Molecule: long non-coding RNA, 291 nt
Organism: Lynx canadensis (Canada lynx)
Lineage: Eukaryota; Metazoa; Chordata; Mammalia; Carnivora; Felidae
Exons: 3
Source: RefSeq, a predicted model, not a curated record
UGUUCAUCUAAGCUAUAGUUUCUUCAAAACCUACCUCAUCUGUGAAGAUUUCCUAGUGCCAUUCCAAAGAGAGAUGAAUCCUGGGUGAUACUAGAUGCCAUGUGUUGAAGAUAUCAAGGCUCCUGUCAACCUGGUGCCUGAAAAGGCUAUUGUGCCAACCCCUUCACUUCACUACUGUCAUGAACCCAGUGACCCACCAGAGGACUGGACAGUUUAAGGCCAGCUCCAGAAACAAAUGGAAGACAGUUCAAGUACUUAACAUAAAAACCUUUUUAAAUUUAUUUUUCUUUC